GACGAACGCUAGCGGCGUGCUUAACACAUGCAAGUCGAACGAUGAACCCGGAGCUUGCUCCGGCGGAUUAGUGGCGAACGGGUGAGUAACACGUGAGUAACCUGCCCUUGACUCUGGGAUAACUGCUAGAAAUGGUAGCUAAUACCGGAUACGACCCUCGGCGGCAUCGCCAGGGGGUGGAAAGAACUUCGGUCAAGGAUGGACUCGCGGCCUAUCAGCUAGUUGGUGAGGUAACGGCUCACCAAGGCGACGACGGGUAGCCGGCCUGAGAGGGUGACCGGCCACACUGGGACUGAGACACGGCCCAGACUCCUACGGGAGGCAGCAGUGGGGAAUAUUGCACAGUGGGCGCAAGCCUGAUGCAGCAACGCCGCGUGAGGGAUGACGGCCUUCGGGUUGUAAACCUCUUUUAGCAGGGAAGAAGCGAAAGUGACGGUACCUGCAGAAAAAGCACCGGCUAACUACGUGCCAGCCGCCGCGGUAA
This 484-nucleotide ribosomal RNA is filed under the name uncultured bacterium. Its description in RNAcentral is "partial 16S ribosomal RNA". It matches the Rfam family "Bacterial small subunit ribosomal RNA", at positions 28 to 523 of the family's 1533-position model. The record is from RNAcentral.